RNAcentral lists this ribosomal RNA (837 nucleotides) under Triticum aestivum (bread wheat). RNAcentral describes it as "partial small subunit ribosomal RNA". The record is from RNAcentral. Lineage: Eukaryota; Viridiplantae; Streptophyta; Magnoliopsida; Poales; Poaceae.
ACCCCGCCUCCCGUGUCAUCUUCCCCUUCUCCUGUUCAACCGACAUGUGCCCGCGCAUUGCCGCCGAGCCCCCUCGCCGGCCACGCCGCUACAGCGCCGCGGGGGGAGAUAAGGAGGCCACUUCGCCUCCCCCUGGGAUAUUUAUCCCCUCUCUCUCUGUGGCCCACGCCUGCUCUAUCUCCCUUUGGCCUCGCCCUCUUCUCCAGAUCCGCCCGCACCCAAGCACCAUCGACGCCAUGGCUCCGUCCACGCGACAACCGGCUGCCCCUCUCCGCCUCUCCGUGUCCAGGAACUUUACCCGCCUCUUCUUCAUCAACGACGAGGAUCAAACGGACCCGGGCGAUGCCACAACUCGCGGAUCGAGCCGAUUCCCUCGUCUGCAUCACCGGCGUUCUUCGACGACUACAUCGCCCCCGCUGCUCCAAAGCUUCCACCGGGCCUACGUGUGCCUCCCCGACUACGAGACCGACACUGCUGCUGCCCAGUUCGACUACGGAGUUGACAACCCCUCCUUCUUGCCAGAGCAACCAGAUGUUGGAGCCCAGGAGCCAGACGCCACCGUCGACGACGACUCCUACUACACUGGAGGUGCCUACUACUACGUGCAGGCCGGUGAUGACGACCAUGAGUAGUUUAGGAGGAUCCCAGGCAGGAGGCUUGCGCCUCUUUCGAUCUGUUUCCCAAUUUGUGCUAGACAUCUUAUGGCAACUUGUUUAACUUAUGUCUGUGCUCAGAUAUUAUUGCGUUCGCUGACUCGUCUAUGAUCGAGUACUUGUAUUCGAGCCCUCGAGGCCCCUGGUUUGUAUUAUGAUGCUUGUAUGACUUAUUUAUGUUUUA